Molecule: long non-coding RNA, 894 nt
Filed under: Spirodela polyrhiza (greater duckweed)
Lineage: Eukaryota; Viridiplantae; Streptophyta; Magnoliopsida; Alismatales; Araceae
Description: long non-coding RNA (SPOL_LNC000884)
Source: RNAcentral
UCCCAUCUGCCAUUUGGUCGACGCCGUUAGCCUUCUCUCCCCGGCGUGGCGUCGUGGUGUCAUCUCCCCUCGCCUGUCUUGAUCGCCACACCAGCGUCUCGUUCCCACGCUUACUCCCACCACGUGUCGGGCAGCGCGGGGUUAUGUUGUCCCCGGGGUCCGGCUCGGGAUCAGACCCCGUGUGACAAUUACCCAUGAGAAACGAGAGAUCUCCAAAAUGCAGUAACCGUCUUACCUUUGCAUCAUGAGAUUAAGUAAGUUGGACUAAAUAAGCAUGUCACACACAUUUUUUGUAACCUGUAGGUUGUAGUCUGAUAACUCCUUAAAAUUAGGGCAGGAUAAUGUUUCCAAGCUUAUCCGAGGAAACCUAAUUAUCUGAGUCGAAUAAUAUAAUCUAGGCUACUUGUCUUAUCCUUACAAUGAUCAAAUUGAAACUAAAUUAGUUUGAGUUAAACUACAACAAGGAGCAAAUGUGUUGUGAAACUAAAAGUGGGAUAAACUCAAAUCUUGGCCCGAUUAUCAAAUCAGCUCCAGAGGUGUAUACAAGAGGAAGGAAUAAAAGUAAAAGCAGUAGUGUUCUCUGGACGACGCCCGUUUUCUCCUUUUCGGGUCAAAUGUAAUCACUUAGAAAUUAAACAAAUAUCAAAGAUGUUGCGUUCCUUAAUUUGAAAAAUAAAUUCGUUUAAUCAUCGAUUAAAACUAUAAAUAGAAAGCUUAUGUACAUAAAGAGCUCCGAAGAAGAAGAAACACGGACUUGCUAAUGAAAAGUAUAUAAAAUGCCAGCCGUGAGAAAUCCACGAGAAAGAUGGGAGAUAAGGGGGGACCCUGCUUACCGUCAGCGCCGUGAGUUCUCGCCGCCACCAGCGGGCAGAAGAGGAGAACGGACUGCCGCCG